Melanotaenia boesemani (Boeseman's rainbowfish) is the source of this 74-nucleotide non-coding RNA. The record is from the annotation of a RefSeq genome assembly. Lineage: Eukaryota; Metazoa; Chordata; Actinopteri; Atheriniformes; Melanotaeniidae.
GGGGCUGUGGAUUAGUAGGUCAAAGUGCCUGUCUAGCAAACAGGAGAUCCUGGGUUCAAAUCCCAGCAGUUCCU